This 1543-nucleotide small RNA is filed under the name Cryptococcus neoformans H99. Its description in RNAcentral is "Cryptococcus neoformans var. grubii H99 hypothetical RNA". Lineage: Eukaryota; Fungi; Basidiomycota; Tremellomycetes; Tremellales; Cryptococcaceae. The record is from RNAcentral.
CUUGUUCCCGUUCUCUUUGUGCUUUUGCCGCGCUGUACAACCCGUUAUGUAAUGUCUAUCUUUGCAUGUUGUAUAUUUAUGAUGUCUGCGACGCCAUCCAUAACGCAUAAAAGUAUCUUUCAGCUACAUAUAUCUACUGUAUUCUGGUAAGCAAUCGACUUCUCGCCCGGAGGUCACAAUCUUCCUGUGGAACAUACCACUCGCACCGUAACCAUGAGAACCGCAUGUUGUUUAUUGAGCUUACUACCCAGAACCGCUCUAUUGGUCGCGUUAACCAUAUUACUGCCAUUUAAUUAGAGUAGUACCCACGGAAUAAACCUUGCCAAACAUGAGCUCCUGCGCCUUGUCAUACAAAGACAAUACACCCGCGCUCGCGACACCUCGCAAGAUGUUGGCACCGGCACCCUUGAACAAUGAUCUCGAGCCCUCCUUGGCGACGAUCUGCGAUGCAGCAUCGAACAUGGACUUGUAGUGCACCGUACCACCGGAAGUCAUCAUCAUACGACGACGGAUAGUGUCAAGGGGGUAAGAAACAAAGCCGGCGGCGGUGGUGACAGUCCAGCCAAGGAGGAAGGAAGCGAUGAAGUUGCCUUCAAGAGCACCAACGAGAACGACAGGCUUGACAGAAUCGUCUGUAAGAUAUAAGCGAAGGCUUUCACUCAAUUAUUGAAGAGCCUUACAAAGACCAAAGUAAAGACCUCGGUAGACAACUAUACCAGCCACAGAAGGGAUGAAGCCGCGAUACAGACCGAUGAGACCGUCGGAAGCCAAAGUCUUCUUGUAGACGUCGAGAAGCCCGUUGAAUUGACGGGUACCACCCUUGCCUGCAGAUUUGUUGUCAUUGGCGAGACGAGUUCGAGCAUAGUCAACAAACCAUUUCCAGUACCCUUCAGAUCUUUUGAAACCGAAUAAGGUCUUAAAGUAGUCCUUAAAUGCAAAGUUAAGUGCUUGGGUAGGGAAAUAUCGGAUGACAUUGGCUGUGUUUCCUCGCCAGAGAGAGAUGAGGCCUUCGUCCUUACAAUUGUUAAGAAGAGUAUGGCCUACAUCUCAUCUUGGUUCUGAAUCAAAAGUUUGACACGCUCAAUCGGGGCGGCUGCCGUUUUGGAAAUGGCUGCAGACACACCACCCAUUAAGAAGUUUGUUAGGAAGCCAGAGACAUCUGUGUCGGUUGGUUUUUUGACAGUAGAUUCUUGCACUUUGGACAUCUUUACUGUUUAAGGGACGGCUGUCACCAUUCGGUUAUGACAAGUAUAUGCAUUUUCAAAAGGCACUACUUACAAGGCUGGAGAAAUAAUCAAUAUUGGUCACUUCUUGUCUAUCACAGAGGGCUGGUAACGUCAGCGAAAAGUGUCGUCGGUACCGUGAUCAAGUCAAUAUACCUGGUAGCGAAUUGCGACGGAAACUGUUACAAUGAUUAGGAUGGGGUAGAAGAAGAAAUAUGAUGAGAGUGGAGAUGGAAAUGGAUCAAUAAUCAACACUCAUAUUUCGUCAUCCUUAGUACGAUAGACUCACGGCGGCACACAUGAUGUAUAACUGCUCAUAC